AUCAAUGCUUCUAUUUAAUUUCUUAUCUAUAUUUCCUGGGCUUGACACUGAAUUGUUUUAGUGGAAAUAUAGUAGUCUGUCUGCUGAGAAUAUUACCUUGGUAAAAAUUGAGAGUGAGCCACAAAAUAUACAAAUAGAAAGCAGCAGCUUUUCUUCUUUCUGAUAAUACAUUACACAAGUGGAGUAAAGAACCAUCUGCAUUACUCUUAAAAGUAAACCACAUCAGCAUAACUUCACCUUAGCUUAACUGGUUUCCCAACACUGCUAAGUGCAUGAAAAGUGUGUGCUUUCCAGUCAUGUAGAGGUAUUAAUCAAUAUAUUUAGACUACAAAACCUGUAUAUUGAACAGAGGCUAGAGAAACCAUGUCACUGGCAUAAAGCACUACCAAAACUGUUGUGUUUGCCUUUAUAACUCAAAGCUUCCACGAACCUUCACAGCAUACAAAUAUGGCACUCUUCCAAACCAGGAGGAAAACUACAGACAAUGUUGCAGUGGGUUUUUUCCGCUUUUUUAACAAUCCUUAUCUUGGAAUUGAGCACUAUAUUGCUCUUCCUGUAAUCUGAAGCAGCUGUUUGUUUUCUCAGUUGUAACUGUUAGCCACAGUUAGCAUGAAUAUAAAGCUGUACAAAGCAGGGGAGAAGGCCUGGAGUACUUCUUUAGAGCAGAUUCAUUCUACAGACUAUGCUUCUGCUUUUAUGUCAUAAUCAAAGCAACACAAACCAAGGUGAACAGUGGCAUCUAAGAGAUCUCUAUGGCCAUCAAGAAGUGCAGCCAUGAAAGAAAUCCCUUUUGAAACCUAUUAUCCCAGUGGUAUCUUGUUCCAUUAUAGCUCUAAAAAAAAAAUCAGCAUUCUUUGGAAAUGUGCUGAAUGUGAGGAAAAUGGAACAUUCUUCCCCAUCUGCUGGAAAUACUCUAAAUGGUUGAACUUGCUGGAAGGAACUCAGCAGGAGCCAGGAACUGCUGCUUCCCAGGGGACAAGAUCCCACCACCAUACCGUCAAUAGCUCAUCUGUAUGUGAGGAUCUCUGAUUCUGGGGAAGAUCUACAUUUUUUUUCCAUACUUUUAUACACCAGCAAGACAAUGUACUCCUACACCAGUCUGGGAAAUACGAGUGAGAGAACAAAACAGAAAAGAAAUCACAAAACAUACCAAGCUCUAUUCUUGGAAGUUAAAGUUUGACUACAAAUAUUCACAACAGAAUUUCAAGUAACAAUGACAAUUUCUACAUUGGGGCCUUGGCUCUAAAAUAAAUGGUUCACAAAUUAGUGAAAGAGAUGCUCUCAGACUAAGAUUCAUAUGUCUCUGGAUUAUCUCUUAAAGCAAGCUUUCAGUGCUAUUGGCACUAUGGAAGAGUUUCAAUACUGACAAACUGGGCUUGAUUAUGCACAACCACCAUCAUUUUUGUUUGCUAAAUUAUGACUACAAAGCACUUGUUAUGCCAUGUUGGUAAGGAACUCUGUCACUUUGGAUUUUUGGAAGAAUUUGAUUUGUUACAUAGCUAAGUGAUAAUAUAAAUUGAGGACAAAAGUAUUUUUAGGUCAUUAACUUUCUCCUAAAAUAAUUCUUAAAAUGAACUAUUUUGACAGACUUAUGCUGGAAAACUUGUAAAUACAACAGGCAUUCUGCUAAAGGGAGCAGAAUUAACAGGAAACAGGAAAAUACAUGAAUGUGAAUUUGGCAAUGGCAAAGGACAAAAAGAUCAAGAGGAGAUAAAAGAAAGGAAAAGCUCUUUACAAAUGGUAAAGAAUGGUAAAUAAAUGGUAGGGUAGUGGAAGAAGAGAAGAUAGAUCAGUAAGACC
Taeniopygia guttata (zebra finch) is the source of this 1800-nucleotide non-coding RNA. The record is from RefSeq and is a predicted model, not a curated record. NCBI's taxonomy places the organism in Eukaryota, Metazoa, Chordata, Aves, Passeriformes, Estrildidae.